Molecule: long non-coding RNA, 1527 nt
Filed under: Gallus gallus (chicken)
Lineage: Eukaryota; Metazoa; Chordata; Aves; Galliformes; Phasianidae
Description: lncRNA (ENSGALG00010018980.1)
Source: RNAcentral
AUUUCUUUGGAUAGAGGCUGGACUUCUCUCAAGCUGUCACUGGGCAUCAGAUGGGGUUUCCUGACUUUCCCAAGGAUGACUGUAUCUCAGUGUGUGCGUGGCUGGAGAAAUCACAACUUUACACGUGGUAUUUCAGCUUGCAGUUCCAAGCACCUCAAUUUCCUUGUGUUCACCAGUUUUCCCUGACUUCCUAGGUUUCAAGCCAUGCAGAUGUACUUCCUGCACCCAAAUUUCUAUCCAUCUUGAAGCACCUUCUGGAGCACUUUUCACAAAGCACAGCCUGUUGUGUUGCCUGAGGAUGUUCUCAACGUGAGCAUGCCCAGAAACAGCGCUGGGAAAAUGUGUGUUGGGACUGAAUAUUGCUCAGAUGCAAGCAAAGACUGACACUGUGAUAAUUGCCUUUGAGGGGGCAAUUCUUCAUCCCUUGGUUGGUGAAAGCAGAGUGCUUCCUUGGGCCAUUACUGUGGGCUGGCAUUGCGAGAGCUGCAUGCCCUGCAUAUUCACCAGUGUGGCACUCUCCACUGGACAUCGUGGCUGGUGACUUGGAAGAGUAGAGCAGUGGUUUUAAACCUGGUUUUAUUUUUGAGUUUCUUCUGAAGUGAGGGCCUGGUGGAACUUUCUUGCAGAUACCCUCAGUGUCUGUAACUCAAGUCCCAUGCCUUUGUGCUACGUUAUGUGACAGACUUGUUCAGUGCUUUGUAGGAGAAUUUGUUGGAGUUUACGUACCUUGGAUUACUCACAUUGAUCAUCCUCAUAGUUCUGCCUGGCCCUGAAAUGUAUUAAUUUUUUCCACACUGCCUGGACUGCAUUUCCCUGUGUAAGACUCAGGAUGUGGUAUUCCUUGGAGAAUUCUUUUGCACUGUAUAACUUUACAGUAUGCACAAUUUCUGCCCUCCAUCAGUUCACAUCAUCUGCUAUGAGCAAGUAGGGGUGGUUGUGGCUGUAAUCUGUGUAUCUCAGUUAAUAGUUGCAUCAAAUGUUCAAAUGUUCAUAUCCUUUCCAUAGUGACAAAUGAUUUUAUGGAAAAGACAUUUGGGCUAUGGUUAGGAAAAUACUUGUAUAAAAUUCCAUGUAUUCCGUCUUUGUGCACUUGUAUUUCUGUUUUCAACUGAAAUGACAAUCCUUAUCCCCUUGCUAGCAGAGUGAAGGUAAUGCAUCCAUAAUGAGCAAGCUGAGCUAUAUUAUGUAUUGCCAGAACUCGCCAUUUAAGCUCUGCCACUUGAAUUCCUGCAGAAAUUAUGUCCUUGAUUUACACCUUCCAUAUUUACUGUCCUGUUUUCCCAAUUGGGAGGACUCUCACCUUGCAAGCCCAGCAGAUUUCAUCUGGAGCUGGUGGGAAACAAACGUCCCAGAGUCAUUCACAGUAUGGCUUUUCCAAUACCGUUGCAUAAAAAAAGAGAAAAGAGGAUGCCAGCUCUGACAAUGACUCCACGUAUGCUUUGCACCACUUGUAGAUUUUCGAAUCAUUAAGAUAGGAAAAGACCUCUAAGAUCAUUUAGUUCAACUGCCACCACACCCCCACCAUGC